CCAGGCGUCCUCGUGUGAGGACACCAUCUUUAAACCCUGCAUGGCAAUCCCUGACACACUGCCGUGAUGCCCGGGGAAGACAGGGCGACCUGGAAGUCCAACUGCUUCCUUAAGAUCAUCCAACUUCUGGAUCAUUAUCCAAAAUGCUUCAUUGUGGGAGCAGACAACAUGGGCUCCAAGCAGAGGCAGCAGAUCCCUAUGUCCCUCUGCGGGAAGGCUGUGGUGCUGAUGGGCAAGAACACGAUGAUGUGCAAGGCCAUCAAGGGCAUCUGGAAAACAACCCAGCAUUGGAGAAACUGUUGCCUCACAUCCAGGGGAAUGUGGGCUUUGUGUUCACCAAGGAGGACCUCCCUGAGAUCAGGGACAUGCUGCUGGCCAGCAAGGUGCCAGCUGUCGCCCGUGCUGGUGCCAAAGCGGCGUGUGAAGUCACUGUGCCAGCCCAGAACACUGGUCUGGGGCUUGACUAGACCUCCUUCUUCCAGGCUUUAGGCAUCACCACUAAGAUCUCCAGGGGCACCAUUGAAAUCCUGAGCGAUGUGCAGCUAAUUAAGACCGGAGACAAGGUGGGCUCCAGCGAAACCAUGCUGCUGAACAUGCUGAAUAUCUCCCCCUUCUCCUUCGGGCUGGUCAUCCAGCAGGUGUUUGACAAUGGGAGCAUCUACAACCCUGUAGUGCUUGACAUCACAGAGGAAACUGCAUUCCCGCUUCCUGGAGGGUGUCCGCAAUGUUCCCAGCGUAUGCCUGCAGAUUGGUUACCUGACUGUUGCCAUCUGUACCCCAUUUUAUCAUCAAUGGGUACAAGUGGGUCCUGGCUUUGUCUGUGGAGACUGAUUACACCUUCCCACUUGCUGAAAAGGUCAAGGCCUUCUUGGCUGAUCUAUUUGCAUUUGUGACUGCGGCCACCACCGCAGCCCCGCACCAGGCAAGGUUGAAACAAAGGAAGAGUCGGAGGAGUCGGAGGAGGAUAUGGGAUUCAGUCUCUUUGACUAA
RNA transcript from Capra hircus (goat), 990 nucleotides. It is a transcript of the gene named 60S acidic ribosomal protein P0 pseudogene, with no coding region annotated. The transcript has a single exon. Lineage: Eukaryota; Metazoa; Chordata; Mammalia; Artiodactyla; Bovidae. The record is from RefSeq and is a predicted model, not a curated record.